AACGAACGCUGGCGGCAUGCCUAACACAUGCAAGUCGAACGAGACCUUCGGGUCUAGUGGCGCACGGGUGCGUAACGCGUGGGAACCUGCCCUUAGGUUCGGAAUAACUCCCCGAAAGGGGUGCUAAUACCGGUUAAUGUCUUCGGACCAAAGAUUUAUCGCCUUUGGAUGGGCCCGCGUUGGAUUAGCUAGUUGGUAGGGUAAAAGCCUACCAAGGCGACGAUCCAUAGCUGGUCUGAGAGGAUGAUCAGCCACACUUGGACUGAGACACGGCCCAGACUCCUACGGGAGGCAGCAGUAGGGAAUAUUGGACGAUGGGCGAAAGCCUGAUCCAGCAGUGCCGCGUGAGUGAUGAAGGCCUUAGGGUUGUAAAGCUCUUUUACCCGGGAUGAUAAUGACAGUACCGGGAGAAUAAGCUCCGGCUAACUCCGUG
This 433-nucleotide ribosomal RNA is filed under the name uncultured bacterium. RNAcentral describes it as "partial 16S ribosomal RNA". It matches the Rfam family "Bacterial small subunit ribosomal RNA", at positions 29 to 507 of the family's 1533-position model. The record is from RNAcentral.